Helianthus annuus (common sunflower) is the source of this 3345-nucleotide long non-coding RNA. RefSeq lists it as uncharacterized. The transcript is spliced from 5 exons. NCBI's taxonomy places the organism in Eukaryota, Viridiplantae, Streptophyta, Magnoliopsida, Asterales, Asteraceae. The record is from RefSeq and is a predicted model, not a curated record.
AAAGCAUUUGUACAAAAAAUGUAAAGUUCAUACGUACGUAUAGGGACUACUACAAUAAUGAUUAUACGAGUCUAAAGAACUCAAUCGGUGGUGGGUUUUAAAGUUUCUAGUUACAGAUCACCGGUGCACACCAGGUGUUUGUGAAAUGUCCCCUGUGAACUUGCCGGUGGAGUUUGGUGCUCGGGAUGUUGGGAAACAAGAUAAGUUUUGAAGUAUCCAUCCGUACAAAUGGUUCCUUCAUUCUUUGUGAUCUUGCUCAACCCAUCCACCCUUCACCUGGUACUCAUCUUCUCAACUCACACACUCCUAGUUUUUCAUUUUUUAUCUUGUAAUUUUUGUCCAUUUACAAAAUAGUUUGCAGCCAUUGCCAAGCAUUUGGAGAAUAAAAUCCGAGAAGGUCUGGUAAUUGUAUCUGCAAAUGGAGGGUGCCGAUGGAGAUUGAGGAUCAAACAAAUCAAUGGUAGUUACUGUUUUGCCAAUGGAUGGCACAAUGUGGUUCAAGAUAUCAAGUUGGGUCUUGGUGAUUUUCUCUACUUUCAGCCCCUUGAUCAAUUCACCUUAAGAAUGUCAAUCCAUAAUCCAAAUGGGUGUGAAAGAGUUAUGCCACCAAAAGUAGAACAUGUUAUUGAACAUGAUGACGAAGGCGAUGAUCCUUACUUUACGUUUAUUAUCACUAAAAACUACACAAACUCAUUGGUAAAAUUCAUUAGUUGUUACAAAAUAAUACUUGGUUAUAUAUGAAUUUAACAUGUUUGCAUGCAUGUUGGUACCGUAGUGAUUCCCAGCAGAAUUUGCUAAGUUGGUGAGAAUGGAAGCUGAAAGAACCAUGGCGAUGAAGAAUAAUGGCAAGUGAGUUUACAGGUGGAGAUAUCACAUGAUACGAAAAGGUACUAUUUAGCGACUGGAUGGUGUGUUUUUCAGCGAGAAAAUGGUUUAUCGGAGGGAGAUGAAUGUGUAAUCAAGUUUGUGAGAAGUGAAGGGAAGUUAUUACUAUCAAAAAUCACUUAGAUCUAACCACAACCUUGAUUUUUGGCUUUGGUUGCUCAGUGAUUUUUUAUGGUAAUAACUUCCCUUCACUUCUCACAAACUUGAUUACACAUUCAUCUCCCUUUGAUAAACCAUUUUCUCGCUUAAAAACACCUCAUCCGGUCGCCAAACAGUACCUUUUCGUAUCAUGUGAUAUCUCCACCCGCAAAGUCACUUGUCAUUCUUCUCCAUCAACAUUCUUCGUCGCCAUGGUUCAUUCGGCUUCCAUUCCCGCCAACUUCCCAAAAUUUAACUGUAGCGAUUACCGACGGAAUUUGCUAAGUUAGCGGGAAUGGAAGCUGAAGGAACCAUGGUGAUGAAGAAUGUUGAUGGAGAAAAUAGCAAGUGAGUUUGCGGGUGGAGAUAUCACAUGAUACGAAAAGGUACUGUUUAGCAACCGAAUAGGAUAUUUUUCGGCAAGAAAAUGGUUUAUCGGAAGGAGAUGAGUGUGUAAUCAAGUUUGUGAGAAGUGAAAGGAAGUUAUUACUAUAAAAAAUCACUGAGCAACCACAGACAAAAAUCAAGGUUGUGGUUAGAUCUAAGUGAUUUUUGAUAGUAAUAACUUCCUUUCACUUCUCACAAACUUGAUUACACAUUCAUCUCCCUCCGAUAAACCAUUUUCUCGCUGAAAAACACACCAUCCGGUCGCUAAAUAGUACCUUUUCGUAUCAUGUGAUAUCUCCACCUGUAAACUCACUUGCCAUUAUUCUUCAUCGCCAUGGUUCUUUCAGCUUCCAUUCCCGCCAACUUAGCAAAUUCCGCUGGGAAUCGCUAGAGUACCAACAUGUAUGCAAACAUGUAAAAUUCAUAUAUAACCAAGUAUUAUUUUGUAACAACUAAUGAAUCUUACCAACGAGUUUGUGUAGGUUUUAGUGAUAAUAAAUGUAAAGUAAGGAUCAUCGCUUUCGUCAUCAUCUUCAAUAACAUGUUCUACUUUUGGUGUCAUAACUCUUUCACACCCAUUUGGAUUAUGGAUUGGCAUUCUUAAGGUGAAUUGAUCAAGGGGUUAAAAGUAGAGAAAAUCACCAUGACCCAACUUGAUAUCUUGAACCACAUUGUGUCAUCCAUUGGCAAAACAGUAACUACUGUUGAUUUGUUUGAUCCUCAAUCUCCACCGGUACCCUCCAUUUGCAGAUACGAUUACCGGACCUUCUUGGAUUUUGUUCUCCAAAUGCUUGGCAAUGGCUACAAACUAUUUUGUAAAUGGACAAAAAUUACAAGAAAAAAAAUGAAAAACUAGGAGUGUGAGUUGAGAAGAUGAGUACCAGGUGGAUGGUUGAGCAAGAUCACAAAGAAUGUGUAAUCAAGUUUGUGAGAAGUGAAGUGAAUGAAACUGAGACAUGAGAUUGAAGUAUUUCCAGCUCUAGCUGAUAGGGAAAUAAUCAAAUAAUGUCUAUCCUAGGCCAUAGUGGCUCUUAAGUUGUGAUUUUUGGGUUCUUACAAUGAUAUUCAAUUCAAUCUGUAACAAGUACAUUGUUCAUAUGCAAUUAUCAAGGCUUGUAGUACCUUUUACUAUGGUGUGGCUGACGUAUUAAUAUUAACAUCAGCCACCGUGGCUUUUGUGGGCGGUCGUGCGGCUGGGAGAGCGCCCGCGUGGCGGGAGAUGAAAAAUGGACGACUGGAUGCGCAGGCGGGAGAUGAAAAAUGGACGACUGGAUGCGCAGCCACGUGGCGGGGUCUAGGUUUGCACUUUGACCCCUGAAGUUUGAGAAUUUACACUUUCGGUCCCUGGAGUUAGGAUUUAACAGAGAAAACUAACGAAGUUAGUGGAUAAAGCUCAUCUGAGGGGAAUUUUGGUCUUUUCACACCCCUAUUUUGUCCUUUAGCGUCGGGGUAAACCUGCACCAGAAGGGAACAGAACAAGGUCAAACAAAAUGCAAUCCUUCAAACUCGCACCAGCUUAGCUUUCCUUAUGUAAACCUGCAAUCUUGGACCUUUUCGCCAUCCACCGCCAUGUCCUUGCCAAGAAUAUAUUGCAACAUCUAGCCAACCGAGUCAAAGCUGUCAGGAAAACGAGGAUAUUGACCCAAACACAAUUUGAUCACCACACCAUUUUGGCGAAAGUACUGGUUAGCCAAAGAUAGUAUGAUGUCUCAAUAUGAAUACUACGUGACGGACAUAGUCCAUCGCCAAAAGCAACGCUCCAGGCGGCAAACACCAUCGUUGUUGGAAUCUUAGCGCUGUAAGCACGCCACACAAAACAGUACAAAACAGUUUACCUUUUACUCCACUUAAACUGAGGUUGAUGCCCAUCCAUAACCAUCCGAUCUUUGAUAUCAAGUCUGACUUGUUUGACUGUGAAAUUAUUAUUAGUUAUCC